GAUGAACGCUGGCGGCGUGCUUAACACAUGCAAGUCGAACGGAGUUAUUUGAAAGCUUGCUUUUGAAUAACUUAGUGGCGGACGGGUGAGUAACGCGUGGGUGACCUGCCUUAUACUGGGGGGAUAACACUUAGAAAUAGGUGCUAAUACCGCAUAAGCGCACAGUUCUGCAUGGAACAGUGUGAAAAACUCCGGUGGUAUAAGAUGGACCCGCGUCUGAUUAGCUGGUUGGUGAGGUAACGGCUCACCAAGGCGACGAUCAGUAGCCGGCCUGAGAGGGUGAACGGCCACAUUGGGACUGAGACACGGUCCAAACUCCUACGGGAGGCAGCAGUGGGGAAUAUUGCACAAUGGGGGGAAACCCUGAUGCAGCGACGCCGCGUGAGUGAUGAAGUAUUUCGGUACGUAAAGCUCUAUCAGCAAGGAAGAAAUACCGACCUUUGGCGCUAGACGUACUUGACUAAGAAGCCCCGGCUAACUACGUG
RNAcentral lists this ribosomal RNA (485 nucleotides) under uncultured bacterium. RNAcentral describes it as "bacterial SSU rRNA". It matches the Rfam family "Bacterial small subunit ribosomal RNA", at positions 28 to 507 of the family's 1533-position model. The record is from RNAcentral.